AUAUAUACAGGGUGACUGGUGAAUUACUAUCAAUAUUUGAGGACGUGUUAAUUGACGAUCAUAUAUGACGAAAAAAAAUUACAUAUAAAAUAAGUAUUCAUAAACUUCUAAGUAAAGUUAACCAACAGUUAUCUCGUUAAUUACGCGUCGUCUGGACGCCCUAGCUGCGCAGUCGUCACAAAGCAGGUGUGUAGGUAUAGAUACAUAAGUUAUCGCGCGGUCGUUUACCUACGUCCAAACACCGCCAAGUGUUAACAGGGUAGCAGGCUACUUUUGAUAAACCACAUAAACUAACCUAACCUCCUUCU
Molecule: long non-coding RNA, 308 nt
Organism: Melitaea cinxia (Glanville fritillary)
Lineage: Eukaryota; Metazoa; Arthropoda; Insecta; Lepidoptera; Nymphalidae
Exons: 4
Source: RefSeq, a predicted model, not a curated record